Molecule: ribosomal RNA, 253 nt
Filed under: uncultured bacterium
Lineage: Bacteria
Description: partial 16S ribosomal RNA
Rfam family: Bacterial small subunit ribosomal RNA
Source: RNAcentral
UACGUAGGGACCGAGCGUUGUCCGGAUUCAUUGGGCGUAAAGAGCUCGUAGGCGGCUGCUCAAGUCGAAUGUGAAAACUCGAGGCUCAACCUCGAGCCUGCAUUCGAUACUGGGCGGCUAGAGUCUGGUAGGGGGAUCUGGAAUUCCUGGUGUAGCGGUGGAAUGCGCAGAUAUCGGGAGGAACACCUAUGGCGAAGGCAGCUCGCUGGGACGUUACUGACGCUGAGACGCGAAAGCGUGGGGAGCAAACAGG